AUUGAACGCUGGCGGCAGGCCUAACACAUGCAAGUCGAGCGGAUGAAGGGAGCUUGCUCCUGGAUUCAGCGGCGGACGGGUGAGUAAUGCCUAGGAAUCUGCCUGGUAGUGGGGGAUAACGUCCGGAAACGGGCGCUAAUACCGCAUACGUCCUGAGGGAGAAAGUGGGGGAUCUUCGGACCUCACGCUAUCAGAUGAGCCUAGGUCGGAUUAGCUAGUUGGUGGGGUAAAGGCCUACCAAGGCGACGAUCCGUAACUGGUCUGAGAGGAUGAUCAGUCAAAAUGGAACUGAGAAACGGUCCAGACUCCUACGGGAGGCAGCAGUGGGGAAUAUUGGACAAUGGGCGAAAGCCUGAUCCAGCCAUGCUGCGUGUGUGAAGAAGGUCUUCGGAUUGUAAAGCACUUUAAGUUGGGAGGAAGGGCAGUAAGUUAAUACCUUGCUGUUUUGACGUUACCAACAGAAUAAGCACCGGCUAACUUCGUG
Molecule: ribosomal RNA, 484 nt
Filed under: uncultured bacterium
Lineage: Bacteria
Description: partial 16S ribosomal RNA
Rfam family: Bacterial small subunit ribosomal RNA
Source: RNAcentral